RNAcentral lists this ribosomal RNA (117 nucleotides) under Periophthalmus magnuspinnatus. Lineage: Eukaryota; Metazoa; Chordata; Actinopteri; Gobiiformes; Gobiidae. The record is from RNAcentral.
UCAUGUUGACGUAGCUGCAUGUGAAUGACUGAUGUUGUCAGAGCUCAGAGGAGAAGCGGGUCGGGCCUGGCCAGUACUUGGAUGGGAGACCACUGGGGCUAGAGUGGGUCAGCAGAG